AAUACAUACUUAGUUAAGAUAAAGCACAAUGGAAGAGGAAAUCUAUAUAGGUGAUACCUACUAAUUGGGAAUAAGUUUUAGACAUGGUAGAGAACUUCUAUUAUUAUUAUUAUUGUUAUUAUUGUUAUUAUUAUUAUUAUUAUUAUUAUUAUCUUUUUUUAUUUGCAUUUUAUUUUAGUUUGGUGAUGAUGACGAUAUGAAUUGAGCUUUAAUGAAAGGAAUGAAGAUUCAUAUCGCUGACCCCAACUUGUUUGGGACUGAGGCGUGGUUGUUGUUGCUUCUGCAAUAUGUUUGAAAUAUACGGAAAUUAGCAGAACAUAUUCAUAUGAUUCCAACCAUGAAAUCUAAGGGUUAUUUUUUCGAUUAGUAAAAAGAAAGGCGGGGCUGCAAUAACAAUUGAAGUAUUUGGUCAUUGAUCACUGUAACUGACCAAAGAAAUGAAAUUGCUAUGGAGCAUUUUACUGGAAAGGUCACACCAACUAGUGAAAUCUAUAAAAUUGACACUGUAACUGACCAAAGAAAUGACAUUGCUAAUGGAGCAUUUUACUGGAAAGGUCACACCAGCUAGUGAAAUGUAUCAUCUUCUGAAAAAGAAUAAAAGUGAGACGUUCAAGAUUACUAUCAAGUGUUAUUUGUAUUUACAAGCUUUAGUUUCCUAUUGACGUGUGUAAGUGUAUAUUCAUAUGAAGGUGGACAGUUAUUUUUAAUGUAGUAUUUUAUUUUUACAGUAUGUAAGUUCCUUAUG
This 745-nucleotide long non-coding RNA is filed under the name Nicotiana benthamiana. Its description in RNAcentral is "long non-coding RNA (NBEN_LNC012987)". The record is from RNAcentral. Lineage: Eukaryota; Viridiplantae; Streptophyta; Magnoliopsida; Solanales; Solanaceae.